RNAcentral lists this long non-coding RNA (1739 nucleotides) under Haliotis rubra (blacklip abalone). Its description in RNAcentral is "uncharacterized LOC124274703, transcript variant X2". The record is from RNAcentral. Lineage: Eukaryota; Metazoa; Mollusca; Gastropoda; Lepetellida; Haliotidae.
UAUAGCGCAGCCACAACACGUGGGUGAUAGACGCGAUUGGCGGGGGACAUGUACACACGCGGAUCACAAGCAGGAUACGCCGCCUGGAAGGACUCCUGGUUUGGACUAUAUCAUGGAUGUGAUCCUUUCAAGAUGCACCUCAAAGAAGAAAGCUGUGCGGUGGGAAUGAGGUGAUGUCAUGGCAAGCCCACCAGCAGCAGAUGGAUGAAGAUCCACCUGACAUCAGGACAGUUGGUGGCUGAUAUUCAUGGGGACUGGUCACAGUGGCUGGACCAUGCAGGUAACACGGGUACAGCUGCACUUACCCGGGUAAACAGAGUAACGUGAGUCAUCUGUGUCCUGGGUGGUCGUCCUGUUUGAUUGAUCAGAUGCAAACGUUCACCUUCUGAUGGAGCGCAGGUGCAGUGGUGAUUUGUUUUGAUCAGAGAUCCAUGACAAUGCAUAUCCCGGGAGCAUAUAAUUUUGUGAUAAAAGUACAUAAUUGUCUGAAGGCUGGACCUGACAUUAUUCCGGACAUUGUAACAACAUGACUCAAUGACAGAGUACAGAAAUGCUAUCCGAAUCUGCAGCUGCUACUUAACAUAUGCUAACAUUCCCCCCACACCAGGACACCUGGAUAGUUCUUGGAACAGGUACAUACCCAUCUCCCGGGACUCAUGGAUAGUUCUUGGAACAGGUACAUACCCAUCACCCAGGACACAUGGAUAGUUCUUGGAACAGGUACAUCCCCAUCACCCAGGACACAUGGAUAGUUCUUGGAACAGGUAAAUACCCAUCACCCAGGACACAUGGAUAGUUCUUGGAACAGGUACAUCCCCAUCACCCAGGACACAUGGAUAGUUCUUGGAACAGGCAUAUAUUCAUCAACCAGGACACCUGGAUAGUUCUUGGAAAAGGUACAUACCUAUCACCCAGGACACAUGGAUAGUUCUUGGAACAGGUACAUACCCAUCACCCAGGGCACCUGGAUAGUUCUUGGAACAGGUACAUACCCAUCCCACAGGAUCACUGGAUGGUUCUUGGAACAGGUACAUGCCAAUCACCCAGAACACUUGGAUGAAUACUGUAACAGGUACAUGCCCAUCACCCAUGACACCUGAGUGGAUACUGUAACAGGUACACACUCAAUAACAUGACAUUGAACCUUUAGCCAUUCACCAUGAAUGCGUUCGAUGGCCAAGCAUGGGUAUACAUCAAACAUUUCCAGCAAAGUUACUGAUGCAUAGUGAAUGUUCAGAUAUUUAUAGUCAUUUAUGACUGGGUUUAACUUCCAUGUUAAACGACAGUGUCUGACUGAUUCUGAUAUUGCAUAAUGUUUUCUAGUUGUUUCUAAUGAUUAAUAUUACUUUAUAGUCAAGGAAUGUCAAAAUAUAAGCUUUAGGAAGGGACCAGUGGCAUCCUCGGGGGAGGAGAGUUGAGCCAGUACUAUUUGUGAUUACUGAAUUAUGCUGAAAAUAUGUUGUUUAACUGAUAUUGCCGUGUUGGUGGGAACAUAAAUAACUUUGAUAUUUUACAAAGUAAGGGCGGAACACAAGAACAAGGCUGUUGUUUAUUUAGUCAAGAGGCCUAAAACAAUUUACUGCCGAUGUCAGAUCGGUUCUGCUUUGUCCUUCCUCCACCCUCUACUGUACACUUUGGCCGUGACCUUGAGAUUUCAACCUUGAACUUUUAAAACUUGCCAUGGUGUGAAUGACAAUCAUACAAUUAUAUUUAGUUAAACUAAAGUCGAGUCUGCUAUA